AGCCUUAAGUUACUUUUAAGGUAAGCCCUGCCCAGUGAAAUUAAAAUUUUAACGGCCGCAGUACUUUGACUGUGCUAAGGUAGCAAAAUCAAUUGGCUUUUAAAUGGAGUCGGGUAUGAAUGGGUUGAUGGAAAACUACUGUCUCUUUUAUAUUUAAUUGAAUUUUUUUAAAGGGUGAAAAUACCUUUUUAAAGAAAAAAGACGAGAAGACCCUAAGAAUUUUUAAUAUUUUACUAUCUUUAGUGGAGGUUUUUGUUGGGGCAACAAGAAAGCACAUAAAAUCUUUCAGCUUUAUAUUUUACAAGCCAAAGUUGAUGAGAGCGAGUAAAUUACCUUAGGGAUAACAGCAUAAUUUUAUUUUUAGCUUGUGACCUCGAUGUUGGACUAGGGACUAUAUGACUAGCCGUCAAAAUAGUGUGUUCUGUUCGAACAUCUUUUCCUACAU
RNAcentral lists this ribosomal RNA (445 nucleotides) under Paraganitus sp. AB34404204. RNAcentral's name for it is "partial 16S ribosomal RNA". It matches the Rfam family "Archaeal large subunit ribosomal RNA", at positions 1909 to 2670 of the family's 2987-position model. Lineage: Eukaryota; Metazoa; Mollusca; Gastropoda; Acochlidiacea; Ganitidae. The record is from RNAcentral.